RNAcentral lists this transfer RNA (71 nucleotides) under Austrocochlea porcata. Its description in RNAcentral is "tRNA-Thr". It matches the Rfam family "tRNA". From Rfam's summary of the family: Transfer RNA (tRNA) molecules are approximately 80 nucleotides in length. Their secondary structure includes four short double-helical elements and three loops (D, anti-codon, and T loops). Lineage: Eukaryota; Metazoa; Mollusca; Gastropoda; Trochida; Trochidae. The record is from RNAcentral.
GUAGUAAAAGCCGAAUUUAUGGCAUCGGUCUUGUAAGCCGAAGGGGGGAGGUGUCAUCCCCUCUUACCGCA